Molecule: unclassified non-coding RNA, 200 nt
Filed under: Serendipitaceae sp.
Lineage: Eukaryota; Fungi; Basidiomycota; Agaricomycetes; Sebacinales; Serendipitaceae
Description: partial internal transcribed spacer 2
Source: RNAcentral
UUAAGUUCAGCGGGUGAUCCCACCCGAUUUGAGGUCAAAUUGUCAAAAUGUAGGGGGUUUAGCAUGUGCUUUCGCCAGACAACCUCGACAGAGCGAGCCCGAUGAAGUUUAACAAUCGGUUUAUCGUCACGACGGACACACGCUGAUGCAUUUCGGAUCAGUCACAAAAGCGACAGGAUCCAGGUCCAAUCACGCAACAU